GUUUGUACUCUAUACUGUCGUCAUGGCCCAUGGAAUAUUAUAGGAACCCAAAGGGAAAUAAAUGACAAUCUAGAAACCUCAAGAUGCAUAUCUUACCCCAGAUAACAAACAUUUUCUUUGAAGAGCAUAUCAUCCAUUACCUACUGUGCCAUUUGUAUUGCACUACAGCCAAGCUAAGAUCUGAAACUGAAAAGAUUUGGCAUGGGUUCCAGAUCCUCAAAGUUCUACAGCUGCACCAUCGAGAGCAUCCUGACCGGUUACGUCACCGCCUGGUAUGGAAACUGCUCGGCAUCCGACCGUAAGCUGCCAAAAGUAGUUUCACUGCCUAGUCUCCACCCAGGCCUGGCAGGACUCCCUGGCAUCAACCUGACACCUUGGGAGAAUUGGGCCUUUGGGCCUAGCGUGUGAAAGCAGAGGAGGUGUUGAUGGUCUGAUGUAACUGCCCUACAUCCAAGGGUACUCUACAGACAGUCGGCUUUCAGGGGUUAGUUUUAGCUUGGUCCCAGAUCUGUUUCUGCUCUCUUCUCAAACCUUAUGGAAUUCUCAUGUGAAGUUUGGCAUGACAAUGACAAUGGAGUAGGCAAAAGCAGAAACAGAUCUGGGACCAGGCUAAGCUAGUAUAGUAAAGUAGUGUUGCAGUGACAGAUGAUGAUGAGGAAUAUCAUAAUAUCCUCAUGGUUGACCGUAAGCUGUUGUCCACUUUGUUCUGAUUAGUGUACAUGUAUUGGAUUGUUGUGUUGUCAAGAUAAUAUUACAGAACACCUACUGUAUGAGACUGAUAGCAGCAACUUAUUCAGUAACGCAAAACAAUCACCCAAUUAAGGAACAAAACUGCACCCAUCUAUGACAAUACAUUGCUGAUCAAAUCAGGUUCUAUCCUCUUAUCUAAAAUGUAGGCUAGAUUUCUGUUCCAGGGUCUUUUUUUCAGUAGCUGGUGAACCGUCAGACAGCACAAAAGAUCCCCUCGACACUUUCCCUUUCUCCGCUACAAUAACACGUCUCACUCCGAACAUCAGACAGAUGGGUGAGGCAGGAGAUGCGUCAAACUAACAGCACUAUGCUAUUUAUACAAACACAGGCUGAACUAUUAUCACUGUUAUUUGGAGUGGAGUGGAAUGAGUUGUCAUCAUAAGCAUGGUAUGUUAAUUAAGUAUCCUCCCCUUUUUUUCAAUUUCACCAAAAAUGACAUACCCAAAUCUAACUGGCUGUAGCUCUGGUAAUGAGAAAGGAUAUGCAUAUUCUUGAUACCAUUUGAAAGGAAACACUUUGACAUUUGUGGAAAUGUGAAAUGAAUGUAGGAGA
Oncorhynchus tshawytscha (Chinook salmon) is the source of this 1302-nucleotide long non-coding RNA. Lineage: Eukaryota; Metazoa; Chordata; Actinopteri; Salmoniformes; Salmonidae. The record is from Ensembl.